RNAcentral lists this ribosomal RNA (451 nucleotides) under uncultured organism. Its description in RNAcentral is "partial 16S ribosomal RNA". It matches the Rfam family "Bacterial small subunit ribosomal RNA", at positions 333 to 800 of the family's 1533-position model. The record is from RNAcentral.
ACACUCCUACGGGAGGCAGCAGUGGGGAAUAUUGGACAAUGGGCGCAAGCCUGAUCCAGCCAUGCCGCGUGAGUGAUGAAGGCCCUAGGGUUGUAAAGCUCUUUCACCGGAGAAGAUAAUGACGGUAUCCGGAGAAGAAGCCCCGGCUAACUUCGUGCCAGCAGCCGCGGUAAUACGAAGGGGGCUAGCGUUGUUCGGAAUUACUGGGCGUAAAGCGCACGUAGGCGGAUCGAUCAGUCAGGGGUGAAAUCCCAGGGCUCAACCCUGGAACUGCCUUUGAUACUGUCGAUCUGGAGUAUGGAAGAGGUGAGUGGAAUUCCGAGUGUAGAGGUGAAAUUCGUAGAUAUUCGGAGGAACACCAGUGGCGAAGGCGGCUCACUGGUCCAUUACUGACGCUGAGGUGCGAAAGCGUGGGGAGCAAACAGGAUUAGAAACCCCGGUAGUCCCAUGA